Molecule: ribosomal RNA, 448 nt
Filed under: uncultured bacterium
Lineage: Bacteria
Description: bacterial SSU rRNA
Rfam family: Bacterial small subunit ribosomal RNA
Source: RNAcentral
GCCAGACUCCUACGGGAGGCAGCAGUGGGGAAUAUUGGGCAAUGGGCGCAAGCCUGACCCAGCAACGCCGCGUGAAGGAAGAAGGCUUUCGGGUUGUAAACUUCUUUUGUCAGGGACGAAGCAAGUGACGGUACCUGACGAAUAAGCCACAGCUAACUACGUGCCAGCAGCCGCGGUAAUACGGAGGGUGCAAGCGUUGUCCGGAAUCAUUGGGCGUAAAGAGUUCGUAGGCGGUAUGUUAAGUCUGGUGUUAAAUGCAGAAGCUCAACUUCUGUUCGGCACUGGAUACUGGCAAACUAGAAUGCGGUAGAGGUAAAGGGAAUUCCUGGUGUAGCGGUGAAAUGCUUAGAUAUCAGGAGGAACAUCGGUGGCGUAAGCGCUUUACUGGGCCGUAAUUGACGCUGAGGAACGAAAGCCAGGGUAGCAAAUGGGAUUAGAUACCCGAGUA